GAGUUUGAUCGUGGCUCAGGAUGAACGCUAGCGGCAGGCUUAACACAUGCAAGUCGAGGGGCAGCAUAAUGGUAGUAAUACUAUUGAUGGCGACCGGCGGACGGGUGCGUAACGCGUAUGCAACCUACCCUUUACAGGGGGAUAACACUGAGAAAUCGGUACUAAUACCCCAUAAUAUUCUGGGAGGCAUCUUUCGGAGUUGAAAGCUUUGGUGGUAAAGGAUGGGCAUGCGUUGUAUUAGCUAGUUGGUAAGGUAACGGCUUACCAAGGCGACGAUACAUAGGGGGACUGAGACGGUUAACCCCCCACAUUGGUACUGAGACACGGACCAAACUCCUACGGGAGGCAGCAGUGAGGAAUAUUGGUCAAUGGACGGAAGUCUGAACCAGCCAUGCCGCGUGCAAGGAAGACGGCUCUAUGAGUUGUAAACUGCUUUUUGACGAGGGUAAACCAGAUACGUGUAUCUGCCUAG
RNAcentral lists this ribosomal RNA (472 nucleotides) under uncultured bacterium. Its description in RNAcentral is "bacterial SSU rRNA". It matches the Rfam family "Bacterial small subunit ribosomal RNA", at positions 9 to 472 of the family's 1533-position model. The record is from RNAcentral.